RNAcentral lists this long non-coding RNA (432 nucleotides) under Homo sapiens (human). RNAcentral's name for it is "non-protein coding lnc-FAM9C-4:1". Lineage: Eukaryota; Metazoa; Chordata; Mammalia; Primates; Hominidae. The record is from RNAcentral.
GAGUGAAGGCUGUAAUUGCAAAGAUGUUUUCACAUGGGUGAAUUGGAAGCCCUAUGGAUGAAAAGCAAACGACGGAAUAGGGCCCUGGAUUGCUUGGCUGAAUGGAAGGGAAAAUGAAACAAGCUGAAGACUAUAGGAUGUCAACUGUGGAUACAACUCACAAGCUACCAUAUUGAUGUGACAUGAUGAAGUGGGAAGGAAAGCCAUCUGGAGUUUCACUGGUGAAUUGAUACAUCUUGCACUUAACAUUGUGUAUCCCCUGGACUUUGAUCAAAUGGACAUGGGCUUUCUGAUCUACUGCAGAGUGCCUGGAAAUUCAGGUAUUUAGUUAUGCUUAUUUUGCAGUUUCCGCAUAUAUAAUGGAGCCAUGUAUAUUUUUAAAAUUUAUUUCUGACUUGAACAACUACUGAUGAAGAACCUACUGUGUGCAUG